This 605-nucleotide ribosomal RNA is filed under the name uncultured bacterium. Its description in RNAcentral is "bacterial SSU rRNA". It matches the Rfam family "Bacterial small subunit ribosomal RNA", at positions 28 to 623 of the family's 1533-position model. The record is from RNAcentral.
GACGAACGCUGGCGGCGUGCCUAAUACAUGCAAGUCGAGCGGAUGAGAAAGGAGCUUGCUCCUUUCGAUUCAGCGGCGGACGGGUGAGUAACACGUGGGCAACCUGCCUGUAAGACUGGGAUAACUCCGGGAAACCGGGGCUAAUACCGGAUAACUCAUGAGACUGCAUAGUCUGAUGAUAAAAGAUGGUUUUGCUAUCACUUACAGAUGGGCCCGCGGCGCAUUAGCUAGUUGGUGAGGUAACGGCUCACCAAGGCAACGAUGCGUACCGACCUGAGAGGGUGAUCGGCCACACUGGGACUGAGACACGGCCCAGACUCCUACGGGAGGCAGCAGUAGGGAAUCUUCCGCAAUGGACGAAAGUCUGACGGAGCACGCCGCGUGAGCGAUGAAGGNCUUCGGGUCGUAAAGCUCUGUUGUUAGGGAAGAACAAGUAUGAGUUAACUGCUCUACCGUGACGGUACCUACGAGAAAGCCACGGCUAACUACGUGCCAGCAGCCCGGUAAUACGUAAGUGGCAAGCAUUGUCCGGAUUAUUGGGCGUAAAGCGCGCGCAAGGCGGUUCUUAAGUCUGAUGUGAAAGCCCCCGCUCACCGGGGAAGGUC